Cyprinus carpio carpio is the source of this 2316-nucleotide long non-coding RNA. The record is from Ensembl. NCBI's taxonomy places the organism in Eukaryota, Metazoa, Chordata, Actinopteri, Cypriniformes, Cyprinidae.
CUAACAUACAUGUUGUUGGUUUAGAUGAUUUAACAAGUUUAUACAAUUCUACCUCUCCUAUAGUAUAGAAUGAGUGGAACUNNNNNNNNNNNNNNNNNNNNNNNNNNNNNNNNNNNNNNNNNNNNNNNNNNNNNNNNNNNNNNNNNNNNNNNNNNNNNNNNNNNNNNNNNNNNNNNNNNNNGAAAAUUAAGAUUUAUAUUUUUUAAGACAUACAGUCAUUGUAGUUUCAUUCUUACCUUGAAAUGUAACGGUUGCUUUUCUGAAAUUGAACCCGAAAUAUUAAACCUUGAUGACGUAUGAGGGUCAAUUAUUUUUGACCCUUUCGUUGUUGUAGUUGUCCGGCCUUUUAACAGUUUGUCACGUCUGUAAAUUACACAACGUCGUUUGAAAACUUUUGUUUCCAGCCAAUGUAACGUUAUGUGUGCAUGUAUUAAAGCGUUUUUCAUUCAAUGUUACAGGAAGCUGUAAGGCGCCUUCACAAUUUCGGAAAACAACCCACAUAAAUAUGAUUCACAAACUGGGUAAGACUGCUGUUUUUCUGCUAUGUUUAUUUGGCCUUUGUGGGCCAUGCUGUUUAUGGGGUUUUACAUAUUUCUUUUAAAUGUAUUUAAUGACACACUUCUCUUUCCACACAGAAUAAGUUCGCCUCGUAACCAAGCAGUCAUGACUUAUCUGCUAGAGGAAUUGAAAACAACUUUUGUAGAUGCAGACCCUGAGUGUAUACAAGCGUGUUGCAAGACAUACUUUGAAACACUUCGGAGAAAGUACAAUUUGUCUCAGCCAGAAAAGUCCCAGCUAAGAGAUGCCAUUAAAACAGGAGCUAAAAACCGACAUUCAUCAACUUGUCUUUAAAGGGAUAGUUCACCCCAAAUUGAAAAUUCUGUUAUUUUCUUCUGAUAACCACAAAAGAAAAUAUUUUUAGGAAUGUUUGAAAUCAAACUGAUCAUGAGCUCCAAUCACUUCCAUAGUAUUUUUUUUUCUACUUUAAAGUCAAUGGGGCUCAUGAUUGGUUGGAUUAUAAACAUUCCAUCUUUUGUGGUUAUCAGAACAAAGACAUUUACAGGUGUGUAACAACAUGAGAGUGAGUACAUUGACAGAAUUUUCAUUUUUGAGUGAACUAUUCCUUUAAGUUUGAUACAUUUCUGGGUGUUUUUAGUGGUUAACACAUUGUGUGUUUUGCAGUUGCUGGAUUCCAGGUCCAAGGUUGUUCAAACCGAUGCAGAGAGAGAGCUUUGGCAGACUGCAACAGUGGAGCUGAUGUCUGACGAGGAGGAUGCCAUUGUUGAUGGAAGGCCAGUGUGGAUUGUGAGGUCUCCAUCUCACAGGAACCCACAAUUGUCAGAACUUUGUGAGGAGCUUCAGCGCAGAUUGGAGGCAGACAUGCGCUACGCUAUUUUGCAUCAUCAGCGUGUUAAGGCUGAUGGAAAUGGACAUGAUGGACCUUCCUUUCUUCAACUUUAACUAAACUGCACUGGUUUUGCAAUUUUAAUAAUUGCACCACAAACUGCACAUUUUCACUUAUUCUCUUCUAUUUUAUCUUAUUCUUUGUAUACUUAUUAGGUUAGAUUUAUUUAGUUUCAUAUUCUGCAACUUAUUUUCUUUUAAUAUUGUGUGUGUUUGCUGUGUUUGGUUACAUUUUAAAUACUUUGUGCUGUGUGUACAUAUUAAGUAGUUUAUUUAGUUUUAUAUUCUGUAAAUGUUAUAAUAUUGCUUCUUUAGUAACAUUUUAUAAAAGUACUUUGCUUUGUGUACAUAUUAUUUAGUUUUAUAUUCUCUAACUGUUAUAAUAUUGCUUGUGUUUGGUUAACUUUUAUAAAAGUACUUUUUCCCCUGUACAGUUCCUAUAGUUUUAUUUAUAUAUUUAAUGCUUUAUUUAUAUAUUUAAUGCUUUAAGUGUUUUGGUUUAAUUUUAAUAAAAAGAAAUUCUGAAUCCAUUCAAUCAAGUCACUAUGCUAUGAGGGCUUGGGUUGGGCUAAAUGAAAACCGUGACCAAUCAAAUACUAGUAUCAGGAAAUUGACAGGUCACUGUCCCAAUAGUUGUCAGGGUUUGGGAGUGUUUUUUUUAAAACAACCAAUCAAUGUUGAGAAGAAACACCAAUAAGGACAGCAGAGGUGUGUCAAGGUGUGACGUGAAAAGGCUCUGGAGGUGUGAAAAUGUCUCCUGACAACAUUCUUCAGGGGAUUACUUGCCAUGGCAACAAAUGGCUGCAUAUACCACGGGGAUAUCCCUUCAGCAAGAUACAGCCGAAUUGGUAUCAUUACGGGAGUUUCCUAACUUGGUGGAAUUAGAAGUUUACCCUCAGUGGAACUAGUAGA